AGUGAACGCUGGCGGUAGGCCUAACACAUGCAAGUCGAACGGCAGCACAGUAAGAGCUUGCUCUUACGGGUGGCGAGUCGCGGACGGGUGAGGAAUACAUCGGAAUCUACUUUUUCGUGGGGGUUAACGUAGGGAAACUUACUCUAAUACCGCAUACGACCUACGGGUGAAAGCAGGGGAUCUUCUGACCUUGCGCGAUUGAAUGAGCCGAUGUCGGAUUAGCUAGUUGGCGGGGUAAAGGCCCACCAAGGCGACGAUCCGUAGCCGGUCUGAGAGGAUGGUCAGCCACACUGGAAGUGAGACACGGUCCAGACUCCUACGGGAGGGAGCAGUGGGGAAUAUUGGACAAUGGGGGCAAGCCUGAUCCAGCCGUAGCGCGUGGGUGAAGGAAGCCUUCGGGUUGUAAAGCCCGUUUGUUGGGAAAGAAAAGCAGCAGGUUAAUACCCCGCUGUUCCGACGGUACCCAAAGAAUAAGCACCGGCUAACUUCGUG
This 492-nucleotide ribosomal RNA is filed under the name uncultured bacterium. RNAcentral describes it as "partial 16S ribosomal RNA". It matches the Rfam family "Bacterial small subunit ribosomal RNA", at positions 29 to 507 of the family's 1533-position model. The record is from RNAcentral.